CAGCCGCCGCGGUAAUACGGAGGGUGCAAGCGUUAAUCGGAAUUACUGGGCGUAAAGCGCACGCAGGCGGUCUGUCAAGUCAGAUGUGAAAUCCGCGGGCUUAACCUGGGAACUGCAUUUGAAACUGGCAGACUGGAGUCUUGUAGAGGGGGGUAGAAUUCCAGGUGUAGCGGUGAAAUGCGUAGAGAUCUGGAGGAAUACCGGUGGCGAAGGCGGCCCCCUGGACAAAGACUGACGCUGAGGUACGAAAGCAUGGGGAGCAAACAGGAUUAGAUACCCGCGUAGUCCCUGUCUCUUAUAC
Molecule: ribosomal RNA, 301 nt
Filed under: uncultured bacterium
Lineage: Bacteria
Description: partial 16S ribosomal RNA
Rfam family: Bacterial small subunit ribosomal RNA
Source: RNAcentral